CGGAGGGUGCAAGCGUUAUCCGGAUUUACUGGGUUUAAAGGGUGCGUAGGUGGGUCUGUAAGUCAGUGGUGAAAUCUCCGAGCUUAACUCGGAAACUGCCAUUGAUACUAUAGGUCUUGAAUUAUCUGGAGGUGAGCGGAAUAUGUCAUGUAGCGGUGAAAUGCUUAGAUAUGACAUAGAACACCAAUUGCGAAGGCAGCUCACUACGGAUAUAUUGACACUGAGGCACGAAAGCGUGGGGAUCAAGCAGGAUUAGAUACCCUGGUAGUCCACGCCCUAAACGAUGGAUACUCGGCAUACGCGAUACACUGUGUGUGUCUGAGCGAAAGCAUUAAGUAUCCCACCUGGGAAGUACGACCGCAAGGUUG
This 368-nucleotide ribosomal RNA is filed under the name uncultured organism. RNAcentral's name for it is "bacterial SSU rRNA". It matches the Rfam family "Bacterial small subunit ribosomal RNA", at positions 526 to 896 of the family's 1533-position model. The record is from RNAcentral.